GGGGGGGGGGGACGAGGGGCCGAGGGAGUCGGGUGGUGCAGCCCCACGCUGCUGAAAAGUUACAAAACACGAAACGAUGACAAAACACCGGAGAGGAUCACCUACUUACUCUGGUCUCAGGACAAAAUGCUCAUCUCUUGGUUGCGCACGACGUUUGCGCACGGUCUAUAGUCCAGUCAAAGCGGCGACACUUGGAAUGCCCAGAAUGUGAGAGGUGGCGAGGAGAAGCGAGGGCCUUUGAAGCCACGCCCCUGACGGCGGGUCACGCUUCAGUGAUUGGUCGCUCCCCGGAGGUCGGAGUGCAAGUCGGGGGUCCUGUCACUCUUCUGAAGAAGAAGGUCAAAGGUCUACUUCCACCGGAGCUCCCCUUUCCUCCUCUUUCCCGGCGGGGUUCUUCUGAGCCAGGAAGCCUCACUGCUAAAAAUCAGUUUACUUUGUACACUUAUUUAUAUUCACUUUCUGUGGUUUCAAGUUUAAUGCAUCAAACUAAACAGCCUUGAUGUUUACUCAAAAUAAUCAUUCAGACCCACGUUUUUCUGUAACCGUCCGUCUGCUCAAGUGUUUAAGAGACGGAAAGUUUAUACGGAGAGGUGGAAUAUCACAUGACCACACAAACUAUUCACCGUAAAUAAAU
Gasterosteus aculeatus aculeatus (three-spined stickleback) is the source of this 634-nucleotide long non-coding RNA. NCBI's taxonomy places the organism in Eukaryota, Metazoa, Chordata, Actinopteri, Perciformes, Gasterosteidae. The record is from Ensembl.